Long non-coding RNA from Brienomyrus brachyistius, 475 nucleotides. RefSeq lists it as uncharacterized. NCBI's taxonomy places the organism in Eukaryota, Metazoa, Chordata, Actinopteri, Osteoglossiformes, Mormyridae. The transcript is spliced from 3 exons. The record is from RefSeq and is a predicted model, not a curated record.
UUGCUAUAUCAAAAAUAAAUGAAUAAAUAAAAAAUAAUGAAUACUAAUGCCACAGGACGACACAAGAAAACAAAUUCACAUGAAAUGGGUGAACGCAAUGAUCAUACAUGACAGAAUGAAGAAGUAAAAAAGGAAAACUGACACCGAUGAUGGAGUUUAAGACGAGGAACGACAGAGGCGACCCAGUCAUCCCUUGCUGUGCAAAAGCUUCAAUGACAGCCUUAAAUGGAACGGACCUUCAUGCCUGGCCACUGGAAAGAUGGAGAACGGAGGCCGAAGCCAUCGACACCGGAACGGCUAAGGAAAAAGUGGACAGUAACUGUAUUUAUCUGAGUUAGCGAAGGAGCACAUUAAAAUCAGCGAGCAUUAAUCAAAUGGGAUGAGACGGAGGCAGGAAGAAGAGGUCAGAGUCCCAUGGAAGGAGGAUGCUGGGAAAAAUCUAAUGAAACCAUAUAAAGCCAAAGGAUGCGGAAGG